Molecule: ribosomal RNA, 497 nt
Filed under: uncultured bacterium
Lineage: Bacteria
Description: partial 16S ribosomal RNA
Rfam family: Bacterial small subunit ribosomal RNA
Source: RNAcentral
GAUGAACGCUGGCGGCGUGCCUAAUACAUGCAAGUCGAGCGAACAGAUUAGGAGCUUGCUCCUCUGACGUUAGCGGCGGACGGGUUAGUAACACGUGGAUAACCUACCUAUAAGACUGGGAUAACUUCGGGAAACCGGAGCUAAUACCGGAUAAUAUAUUGAACCGCAUGGUUCAAUAGUGAAAGACGGUUUUGCUGUCACUUAUAGAUGGAUCCGCGCCGCAUUAGCUAUUUGGUAAGGUAACGGCUUACCAAGGCAACGAUGCGUAGCCGACCUGAGAGGGUGAUCGGCCACACUGGAACGGAGACACGGUCCAGACUCCUACGGGAGGCAGCAGGAGGGAAUCUUCAGCAAUGGGCGAAAGCCUGACGGAGCAACGCCGCGUGAGUGAUGAAGGUCUUCGGAUCGUAAAACUCUGUUAUUAGGGAAGAACAAAUGUGUAAGUAACUAUGCACGUCUUGACGGUACCUAAUCAGAAAGCCACGGCUAACUACGUG